RNAcentral lists this ribosomal RNA (253 nucleotides) under uncultured bacterium. Its description in RNAcentral is "partial 16S ribosomal RNA". It matches the Rfam family "Bacterial small subunit ribosomal RNA", at positions 524 to 776 of the family's 1533-position model. The record is from RNAcentral.
UACGUAGGUGGCAAGCGUUGUCCGGAUUUACUGGGUGUAAAGGGCGUGCAGCCGGGCCGACAAGUCAGAUGUGAAAUCCGCGGGCUUAACCCGCGAACUGCAUUUGAAACUAUUGGUCUUGAGUACCGGAGAGGUCAUCGGAAUUCCUUGUGUAGCGGUGAAAUGCGUAGAUAUAAGGAAGAACACCAGUGGCGAAGGCGGAUGACUGGACGGCAACUGACGGCGAGGCGCGAAAGCGUGGGGAGCAAACAGG